Molecule: ribosomal RNA, 253 nt
Filed under: uncultured bacterium
Lineage: Bacteria
Description: partial 16S ribosomal RNA
Rfam family: Bacterial small subunit ribosomal RNA
Source: RNAcentral
UACGUAGACCUCAAGCGUUAUCCGGAUUUAUUGGGCGUAAAGAGCAUGUAGGAGGUUCGAUGCGUCUUCCGUUAAAGACCACCGCCUAACGGUGGAAGUGCGGAGGAUACGAUCGGACUAGAGGAGGUUAGAGGUGCAUGGAACUCAUGGUGUAGGGGUGAAAUCCGUUGAUAUCAUGGGGAACACCAAAGGCGAAGGCAGUGCACUGGGCCCUUCCUGACUCUGAGAUGCGAAAGCGUGGGGAGCAAAAAGG